This 206-nucleotide long non-coding RNA is filed under the name Elaeis guineensis (African oil palm). RNAcentral describes it as "long non-coding RNA (EGUI_LNC027298)". Lineage: Eukaryota; Viridiplantae; Streptophyta; Magnoliopsida; Arecales; Arecaceae. The record is from RNAcentral.
UCCUCUUAUCCGCGUAAAUCCCAAUGCCCAACCGUGCUCUACAAACUAUAUGUAUUUUAUUUGAUAAACUAAAUAUUUUUAUUUAAUUUUUUAUUUAUAUAUUUUAAUUUUAUGUCAUAUUUUAUUUUAUUUUAUAUUUUAUUAUUAUAUUUUUUAGUGAAUUUACUUUUAUACUCAUUUUUUGAUCUUUUUGAUAUUUUUAAAUU